UGCAUUCAGUUAGCAUACAAAGCAAUUAUGAUGCACAUCUUGAAAGACAGCCAUGAAAUGUUCAAAAACAUGUUUUUCUCCCCAAUACUUCAAUAAGAACUUCAGGGGGCUGGUAGGAAUAAUAUACACUCCUCUACGUAUUUAUUUGGACAGUGAAUCUAAAACUUUUAAUUUGGUUUUAUACUCCAGCAUUUUGGACUUGAGAUUAAAUGUUUUAUACGAGACGACAGUGCAGAAUGCCACCGUUUAUUUGAGGGUAUUUUCAUACAUAGCCAUUUUAGCGGCUAGACAUGAAUGCACUUAUAGUAUUCGAACAAAUUCACUUACAGAUGCACAAAGGUUCAUGACCCAAAAACAAUCCUCUCACCAUUACCAAUAACAUGGGAGGUUAGCAUAAUUUUUUCAGGGGUGGGGGAUAUACUAUUUAUGCCUGUAACUUUCUCACUCAUCAAUAUUCACAAUUAAUUAAUGAUUAUCCCUAAUCAUGGUAGGAUCCACAUUAAUGUAGAAGUUUUCAGAAACAUAUAUUUUUAUUUACAAUUAAAGUGACUCACAUGACAACCAUUAAACAUUCAUUUAUAUUGGUCACAACAUCAUCCCAAACACAACCAAAACAAACUGCAAAUGCAUCCAACAAAUUUGUAAAGUCACAAGCUUGAUGUAGUCAUUGCGUGUAGGGAUAUGGGACCAAAUACUAAACUUUUCUCUCAUUGUAAUACACUAUAAGUGAAUUUGUCCAAAUACUUACUACACCUUCAAAUGGGGGGGACUAGUACACAAAGUUCUUUCAUUUCUAAACAGUAAAAAAGAAGUAUGAAAAUAUCCUCAAAUAAAAAGGCGACAUCAUGUACUGUUGCCUCAUAAAACAUUUGAUCUCAAAUCCCAAAAGCUAGAGUAUAGAGCCAAAUUAAAAGUUUUAGCUUCACUGUCCAAAUAAAUAUGUAGGGAAGUGUAGUAUCCUCAUCACACUACCAAUGGAGCAGAGAUCAUCACCCCUGUGAGCAAUCUAAUCGAGCGCAAGAACAGUGUGUGUGCCCUCAAUGAGCAUUAAAAAAAGAGCCUUGGUGCUUUCCUCCAUACGCCAACCUGUGAGUGUUUGCAGGUUUAAAAAAAUUAUAUUUUAAGGCAAAUACAUUACUUAAAGUGAUCCUGCAGAGGUUUUGUAUAAUUUCAGCCAGUAUUUUUGAAAGGAGUGCUCACAAGCCAAAACGGAUCCCGAAAAUUGUGUACUACAUCCUGCAUUUUGUAGAAAUGCUGUUUUUUUUGCAAUUCAUAUGUUACGAAUUCAAAUUUAUACAAUAUCUUUUACGAAUUUGUAAGCGCUUAAGAUCCUAGACUGCAUCUUUAAUCUUCUACAAAGCAAUAGGAAUAAAUUAUGUUUUUCUUUACCAAAACAAGAGCCGAAAGAAAAGCAAGGUGGUGGUGGGGUUAUAGAAUAAAACAUUUAAAAAGACACUUGAAUAAACUGUCAAUCCUCUUAACGGUUAUCUGAUCAAAUAAAUACCAUUUUACAUUUGGUAUAAUCUUUGCUACAGUUUCCAUAAACUGAUGAUGGCGCUGUGCAAAAGCCAUUCUGAUAGUAGGACAUUAUUGAUAAGGCAUCAAAGGUGUAAUAAUGGCGUAUACAGAGGACUGAGUUUGUAAAAGACAGAACUUGAAUAUUGAAAUGGAAUAUAGCAAACAAUCAGUUGGUGGGACAUUGUGGAGAACUGUGGAAACAAAGAAAAACAUCAGCAAGACGUGCAAUGGAAAUGAGUUGGAUCCUGUACCUCCUGCAUUGUAUCACUGUUGUUCAUUUCCCCAAUCAAACAACGGCAGACAUCAGCACAAAUGGUGAUUUGAUGUGUCAACGUGAUCAUUGUUAAACUUAGGCAUCAGUUCAGUAAACCACCCUACCACCGAUAAAAAAAUAAAGCACACACAAAAACAAAACAAAAUGGUUGAUUACUAGCUAUCCUAUUUCAAAUCGAUGGUGAGCCUACUCAUAAAUCUAAGAGUGGGCUUAUUUUAAAACUAAAAUAUAGGGUUGGAGUAUUAGUUAGAAUUAUCACUAAUAUACUUUAACAGUCACUUCUGUUUUCAUUUGUUUCUCAUGUCAUGGACUGCACUAACCAGACAAAGCUUUUAUAUUAGUUAUUAUUUCAUUAACAUUAAAAUCAAAUCAAAUCAGAAUUUAUUGGUCACGUACACGGUCUGUAGAUGUUAUCGCAGGUGCAACGAAAUGCUUAUGUUUCUAGCUCCAACAGUGCAGCAAUAUCUAGCAAUAAAAUGUACAUUACCAAGUACAUACAUGUAUAACCUUGCUGUUAACUAGCGACGUCUCUCUACCUACUGUACCUCAUUCCUAGUUCGCGCACUCUUGCGCUCUCCCUCACUACCCUGCUUUAUGGUAAAAUACAUAGCACAAUCCUUCCUGAAAUACAUUCACUGUCAUAUUACCAUACCUUCCUAUCAGUACCGGGGUAAAAAGUGCAACGUAGCAACAUUAAAACACUUGGUUGUUGUUACGAUUUAGAAUCUAAUCUACAGAUAAUCUACACUUAACAGUAUUCUGUUCCUAAAAUAACAAUACUCAACAUUAAUAUUUUGCAGAUUCUGCUGUGUGUGUGUGUGUUUGUAUAUAGUACAUAUUCAUUGAUAUUUAUCAAAAUACAUCAGUAACACAGGUGUCAGCAGACUACUUAAUGUUGAAUCCUAACUUGAGAUCCUAAUCCUCUGAAAGUCCUCCAUCACCCCAGGGCAGGGCCAGGAGGGUACAACAGAAACAUUGUAAGUUUCUUAACCGCAGCAAUCUUUAAACACAACAGGAACAGAAAGAGGAUAUAUCUGGGACACAGUGCAUUCGGAAAGUAUUCAGACCUCUUUACUUAUUCUACAUUUUGUUACGUUAGUGUCAUGCUGUUUAUUAUCUAUGCAUAGCCACUUUUACCCCUAACUACAUGUACAAAUUACCUUGACUAGCCUGUACCCCUGCACAACCUGCACAUUGACUCGGUACCCCCUGUAUACAGCCUCGUUAUUGUUAUUUUACUUUUUAUUACUAAAGUUUAUUUAGUAAAUAUUUUCUUAACUAUUUCUUGAACUGCAUUGUUGGUUAAGGGCUUGUAACUAAGCGUUUCACAGUAACCUGUUGUAAACUAAGCGUUUCACCUGUUGUAAACUAAGCGUUUCACCUGUUGUAAACUAAGCGUUUCACCUGUUGUAAACUAAGCGUUUCACCUGUUGU
Long non-coding RNA from Oncorhynchus tshawytscha (Chinook salmon), 3226 nucleotides. Lineage: Eukaryota; Metazoa; Chordata; Actinopteri; Salmoniformes; Salmonidae. The record is from Ensembl.